GAGUCGUCGUUCAAUGACCGAAUGAAAAGAAAGAAUCACACGAUUCUCUCCGUCGUUCUCCUUCUCUUCGUCUCCGCGAUCGCCGUCGUGCUUCACAUCUCGUCGACAAAUGCUGGAGAUUGAUGAUUCGCUGAUCCCUACUGGCGAUGAAAUGCGACGGAGAAACGUUCGGAGUCCUAAUUUUUGAUUCUUCAAGAGGAUGAACGAUUCUCUUCGUCAAAGCUCUCAUUCUCUUCUCCGACUGAUGCCCGUCGUGCUCCGUUCCUCUUCUUUGCGUUUGCGGCCGCUGCUACAAUAGUUCGCCGCCUGCGACUCAACAUGCUGGGCUUCUCGUGCACUGAUUCGCUUGCAUAUGAUGAAAAAUGGAGUGGAGAAACAUUGAGAUCGAUCUGGCUUAUUGAUACUCAUUAGGUCAUUUGCAGUUGAGACAUUCAUAUUUUUGAGGAAACAUGUGCUCUUGCGCAGCAAUUAGAGCAGUGGUGAAAGAUCCUCUUCCUUUGAGGUUGGAGAACAAUAGUUUUGAUGUUAAGUGCUAACCAUAUCCUGGGGAGCAAGCUGCUGUUCAUGACUGUGUGGGUAGAUUUGCUUUCUCUAGGUUACUAGAAGAGGUUUUCGUUGUUUGAAAGUAUGGCCACAGCUGUGCUGCACAAUCAGAAACACCCGAGGGUUACAAAUGUUUGUCACAAUUUCUCAAUCAUAAUGGUACGCAAUUUUAUUCAGAGCCACUAUAUUUGUGGGAGAAAGGGAGAUUAUCAAACUAAUAUCUGCCAUCCUCAUGCAUCAUCAUCAUCUCAUUGAACAGUUAUAGCAUGAAUUAGGAUAUUAUUAGGACAGCGUUAAAGAUGUUAUACACAGUAGGUGAUAUAUGGGAUAAACUAUUGUUUCUUGAUAUGUUUUAGGAUAUAUCAAUUUAAUAUCAAAACUAUGCUUUUCAUGUGAUGUUUAUUAUCUCUAGUUCUUUGUCAGCAUGCGUUAUAAUUCGUGCUCCCAAAGUUUCGUACAUGUAUGAAAGAAUCUAAUACCAUUGAUCUCAAUUUUCCAACCAUACAUUUAGCAUGUGUAGAAUUCUGAGAAGAGUCUGAUCUUGUUUUUGUUAUUUCAUAGAAAUGGGCUACGUCAAUCAUGCUGUUAUUUCAAUACCUAAUCAAGCACACUGAAACUCAGUACAUCAUGAAGCCAGUGGAAAUAUGGAAGAAUAAAAAACUAACAAAAAUUAGUUGACGAACACGAGGAAGGAAAGAAAAUAAAAAAAAAAAGGCAUGGGUUUAGGAUAUGCACAGCGUGAAACGUUCAACACUAGGUCAGCCACUUGAAACUGAGGGGAGUAGAUUUGAGGUGGUACACUCUAGAACGAAGCUUCUCCUCUCAAUAUGCACCUUGGUGGAUUUGUUCACCUUGGUUGGAAAGAUGAAGGAGUUUCUCAAGUAGCCUUUAAUAUUUCGCAAUAUCUGCAGGAGGACUUUCUUCCUUUAACCCCAAGCAUUUAUGUUUCCUCCCAACUAUCACAUGUUUAUUUCCUUUGCCAAACAAUACUUUUGUUUUAGUCGCUCCUAUUCUUAAGAUUUAUCUUAGGUCAUCAAGUAUAUCUCUUUAAUCUUUAGUUAGAAGUUUUUUUGACCUCCUAAUUUCUUCUUUAAAAUAACCUAUAACUAUAAGUUAGUAAAUGUUUAAACCACUUGGCUCUAGUAACAUUUUUAAAUUUUGAAGAAUCCCAACACAUUACUAUGGACGAGAGAGAAAGCUUAGGAAGAAGAGUUAUUGCGAGCAAGGUAAGAAGGUUUAGCUUGAUUAAAAGAAUGGCACGUUUCACAAUAAAGAGGAGAAAUUUUAUUGAAUAAAGUUGGGCGCGUCUUUCUUAUAUAUUCUAAGUUGGUUGAUCUUCCCUAUAAUUUAUGACAGAAUCACUGAGAUGAUCCUAAUAAAUAAACUUGUUUUUCUAAACUUGUCAUCUAAUUGAAUGAGAUACAAGCCCUUAGAAUUUAUGGCAUUACCAAUAGCCUUCCUUGACCUCUAGUCUUGAAAUUUAAGGCGAUAAAAAAGAAGUGAAAUCAAUGGUUUCUUUGGAUUAACAGAGGGGAGGGGAGGGAUUUUAAUGAUCCCUUCUUUGUUUUAACUAGAGGAGAUGGGGGAAUUUUAAUGAUUUUUUUGUUGUUGGGGAGGGGAGGCAAGAAUAAUUUAACUAUAAUACCUUUGUGAUAGUUUAUUUACUUUUUUAGGAAAGAAGUUAUAGUUCAUCAUUUCUUGUAAUUAUGCUUUUUGGCAGAUGAAAAAAAAAUGAAUCUUAGUUUUCUUUCUUGUACCAUGCGUGCUAUCUUUUUUUUCCGUUUUUUUAAAUGUGGACUUUUUAAAAGCAUUUAUAUUACAACUUAUCAUUGUUUUUUGUUUUGCUUAUUCAUAAAAAAUAAUCAUUCAUCAGUACUAAUUACAAAUGAAUGAGGUGUAAGUAUUCUUUCUUGCCUCCUAAAUGUCUUUGGCCGUGGGUCUAACCCAAAAAAAAAAAACAAAAAAAAAGGAAAAAAAAAGAAAAAAGAAAAGAAAAGACACCUUUCCAGUGCUCCAUCAUAAUGAAGUUGAGCAACCAUGACGUUAGCAUAUAUAUGACCACCCAAAGCUUAUACUAUGGGUCUGCAAUGCUGGUGAAGGUAGUUUUUUAAAACUCAGAUAAUCAUCUUGGUCUCAUUCUUGUGUGAAGUUGUGAGCAUCAUGGCACUUGAGGUCCAUAAGAGAUUAUUAUUAUCAUACAAGUGAUGAAUAAUGACAAACUCCAAGAAAAAUAAAAAUAGGCCAUGAUAAUCAGCUUGUAAUCCUAAGAUUAUGGGCAAUAAAAUUAAUAAAUUUCAAAAGACGUGAUAAAAGCUGUGGAUAUCAAUGAGAAUAGAAAACCAAACAAGAUAUUCGACUGAGAAGCACAAAUGAGGAAGGAAAAUAAUGGAGACAAAUGUAGUGUUAGAUGCCUAAACUCCACAUGGAGCAGUGUGAGAUGCUCUAUGAGGUAUUUAAGCUGCUCGUUUUUUUCUAUUCCCCAUCUCGCUUGAGUACUCAUCAAUUAGCAUUAGAGCUUGUUUGUUGAAGGUUCCAAAAAGGGCUGCCUAUGGAGGGUUUUGACCAGCAAGUAAGUUGAACUGGAAGUGCUGUAGGAUGUAUUUGUUGGGACGACAACACUCUAAGGGGGCCAAUUGAUUGAAACUAAGGUAGUAUGUGAUGCCUAUGCUUCACAAGGGGCAGCAUGAGAUGUUCUAUGGAGCAAUAUGAGAUUCCCCGUCCCACUUGAGUGCCUGGUAGAAAAUGAUUAGAAAAUCACAGGUUCUUGAUGAAUAGCAUAUCAUAUGAUCUCCAAUUGGGUGUAAUAGGUUGGUCACUCUUGAGUGCAAAGUGUUCGUUUGUUAUGCAAAAUAUAUGGCAUAAAUUUAUAAGUCCUUGAGAGCUAGUUUGGUGAUAUAAUCAUUUGCUCACUUGUCAAGAAUGGAAGAGAUAUAGCUAUGCACCCUUCCAAAAGUGCAAAGGCCUAACCCUAUUCAGCACGUAAAUUAGCAUUGUUUUUUAAAAGUUGGACCUACAGAGCUUUUGAAGCCUAGUCUAGAAUCUACACUGCCAGUCCAAUUUCACAGGAAUUUGACGUUGUAGUGAGCUGAGAAAUAAUCAAUAUAGAAAAGGGGCAAUCAUCUGGAAAGAAGAUGAUGUUGUUCUUUGUGUUCUGACCAAAUAGAAGCUAUGAUGGAAAAAAAAACGUAUUGGGGACUUUAUUUGACUUAAAUAACUGCGAAAUUGUCAGGAUUCUUAAGUAGCGUGUUAAGGAAUUAGGGGUUUAUAAUUGGAGCACAAGGCAAGGAUUUUUAACGGUUCUUUCAGCUAUUUGGUUUUCUCUGGGACAGUGUUUUGUACGGCAUUGUGUUCCAGACUCAUGGCUCUUUUGGAGAGCUUCCAACCAUUCUGUUUCAAGUGUAUGAGUUUCUUUCUUGCAUGGAUGUAUUAUUUCCUUUCUUUCUGGUUCAUUUUGCUUCCUUUCGCAGCUCUAGAAUAAUUUAUUUUCUAGCACUGCGUUGUUUACUUUCUAAUAUUUUAUCCAAAAAGAAUUUUUUUAAAUAACUUCUAUGCAUAUUUGACAUCCAACCAAAGAAACCAUUCUAACCUAAGAUUCACCAUAGUUUUGCGAUGUGGUCUGAACUAAAGGUGGUUGGCUGGUGGGGGGAUGGGGCAGUUUCUUAAUGGGACUUUGAAACAUCAACGUUUUCAGCGGUGAACAAUUCAGCUGAGCAAUUGAUUUCUCAGCUUCAAGUUUCAUUCGUACCCAUGUAGCCUAUUUACUGAGAUCUAGGGUUUUGUUACAAUAAAAAAAAAUCUGGAAUUUAAAUUGUAAUUAUCAGAUCUCAUCAAAUCUGAUUCUAAUCUCCUAAAUUAAAUAAAAGAUAAUGAGAAAAUAUAUGAAAUAUCAACUAAUAAACCAGACUAAUUGAAACCCAUCUUAAAUGGGGCUUGGGCAAUGGGCGCCUUGAGGCAAGUGGAGAGAAAAAGCCUACAUAGGACUAUUAUUGAAAUCAGUGCCUUAUCUUAGCUCAUGAGCGUAAAAUUAAUAUAAGUCCGGGCCCAAUCAAAAGAAGUCCAGAUUUGUUGGGUCCAGUUCUGUGUAUCUAUGUCAUGCCUCCAUUGCUUUACAAAAGGAGCAUUAUGGUGCUGAAUUAUACUUAACAGCAUCCAACUAGGCUAAUGUUGCUAAUAAAUUAAGUAUUUAGAAAUCAGUGCACGGGUUUACUUGUUGCUACCAAUAAUUAGGGGGUUUUCCUUGUCAACUAACCGGCGCUGAGAAACAAAUCAAAUUUCUUCUGCAAUUAAAUGUCAGAACGGAAUAUUUAGCAUGUUGUGUUUAUAUUUGGUAUCAUGUGAUCCAUGUCGUCAGCCUUAUUUAGUCAGAUAAGGUUUUUUGUUGUUGUUUGCUCCUUCCCUCCCCAUAUGAGCUUACUAUUUUUUUCCUUACUCUCUUUUAAAAAUCAUGGUGAUAAAUUAUAGAGCAGCACAAAAUGUUAGAGGCUUGAAACUUACAGUUUUGUAGCGCAUCUAAGUGCAUUUUUUAAUAUUCCACAUCCUUUUUUUUUUUUGCCAACGUAAUAUUUCACAUUAUAAAUAUGAUAGAGAAUGAAAUAUUACCAAAUAAUAAUAUUUCACAUUCUAAAGUGCAUUUUGCAAUGACAACGAGAUUGCUGCAGAUAUAAAUGUUUAUAAAAAUUAUCUUGACAACGUUUGAGUUACUUAUAUACUGAGUUUCCUUUGAUAAAAUCAUCUUACACGGUUGAGUUUCCGAGUUGCUGCCAGAAAUUGGCUUUUAACAAUCAGGUAACUCAUAUCUUGAGUUUCCUUUGAUAAAAUCAUCUUUCACAGUUGAUUUUCCGAGUGGCUGCCAGAAAUUGGCUUUUAACAACAAUUGAGUAACUCAUAUCCUGAGUUUCCUUUGAUAAAAUCAUCUUACACAGUCUGCAUGUGACUACACUGACAUGGUUGCUGCUUUAUAGCCAUCUGGCCUUGAUGGAUCAUACGAUUAGAUUCUGACAGCCCUCUAGAUGUCUGCUUUGCCUGUCUGACUUGUAUAGAUAUGUGAUUUCUGAUUUCUCAUGGAAACCUCAUUAUUUUGAUGUCCAAAUAUUUAUCAAACUAUGAGUGCUGAGUAUUUCUUGCCAUAGCUUUUUAUAUUUUUUUUCUCAUUAUAAAUGAAUACAUCAUUUUAUGAAGUUCAGAAAAGUCUUUGGAAUGUCGUGUCCUCUUUGUCUAGCCCAAUUCACUGCCUCUUUGGCACGAUACAAGGAUAACCACUAUAAGGAGGGGCGCAAGCCCAUUGGAUGCUUGACUUUUUGAUCAACACUUGAUAUUUGGAUCUAGUUAAUUGGCAUAUCUUAAUAUCUUAAAUGUAUAGAAAUCUUUGGGACAUUACACCUUUGUGGAACUAAACUUGCAUGCUUGUAGAAUGCCAAAAUUUUUACUUGGCAGAGUUGAAUCAGUUGCUAGCUGUCGUGGCUGAAAGCAGUCUUUGAAGACUGUGGUGGUAUAGCAUCUCAUUCAUCUGAAUAUAGAUGAGAGAAGAAAAAAUAUCUCUUCAUUUAACAAAAACACGUGGCUUACGGACUGUCAUCCACCCCCAAAGCUCAUCUUCUUAGAAGAUGUGAUUUGUUUUAUUGUCACUUGUGGUGCUUAAACAUCGGUAUAUACGAUGCGUACAUAUUGCAGUUUCUUUUGUGAUUGGUGAGCAUUUUCAUAUUAUGUUAUGGUUGACAGACAACUUGGUAAUCCUACAUGCUGUAGUUAGGUAAAUAUAUUUGGAGUUGUUUGCUCACAAGACAAAGUUUCUCCUAUGACAUGGUAGAUGCCUUCUGUUUUUGCGUCAGGUCUUGUGUUUUUAUGUGCUAAGCUUGCUUGAGUUUCUAUGUGGCUGAAAUUUACUUUAUGCUCAAAUUUAGGCUCAAUAAUUUCAGCAUUGUGGCACUAGAUUUUUAUUUUCAGAUACCUUACCAGCAGCUGCUUGAAUAGUUACGUGAAGAAUUCUGAACUCAAAUGAACUAAUAUUUUCUUAAGAGCAUUUUCUGGAAUUGAAAUUAAUAUAUAUAUUUUAUUACAUUUUUUUCUUAGUUCAUUUUGACUGCACAUGUGAUAAGAAAGGAUUUAAAUAAUAAAUAAAAUGUGUUGAAAAUAGUGAAUAAUUUAGUCAUUAUUUAUUUUUUUCGCAAUUUAUAUUAUGUCAUUAUUCUGUAGUUGUCAUCUUCCUUUCUUUAAGGAAUAUCUAUUAAUAAAAAAGGUAGUUUGGAUUUACCUAGAUUUUAUUUUUGUAUAGAGGGAUUUGAUCAAUCUGCUAUGAUAUACUGUUCUAGUAAAAGGUACUAAGCAUUUUCUAUCAAUAGUAGAUGUUGAAAUAAAAUGUGAAUCUCCUAUCAUUGCACAAGUUAUUUAAGCCAUGUUAACUAUACGUUGGCUAUGAUUGAGUUCGGAAUCUACAACAAUGAACAAGGAAUAAUCAAACCAAACAUUUGUCUCUUCCCAUGAUGGCAUGAUACUGAAUGUAGCCCCAUUAUCCGUCACAAGUCUGAGGAUUAUCAACUAUGACAAGGAGUGGUACCUAUAGGGGAGGCUACUAAACCUGUUGUAAUGGUACACUUGAUGUGAAAAGACAUCAAAUUCUGGAAUUAUCAAUUUUGUGGGAGUGGCUGCUGUGUGGCUGUGCAUCCACCCUCAGUGAGGGUGGGUUUUUGUCCGCACUUAAGUGAGAAUUGUGCACGCGUGAGUGCCGAUAAAUGGGAUAUUCAAUCACUUGGGUACCACCUGCGUUGUUUUUCCAUUUGAUGUUGAGCCCAAAAAAAUAAUUUGAAUGGACCUGAUCAUAUGGCUGGUGAUGUUUCUAUACUUAGAAAGUUUGUUCCUAAUUUUUAAAAGUUGCGUGUCCCUGUUGCUGAUGGCUCUAAUGCUUGAACGUGUGCCCUUUUACAGCAAGACACCAAUUGAGAGGGAGACAUCUAAUACCAGAAAUCCUAACGAAUGGCUGUCUUGGAACCUUAACCCUCUGCAACCCUUACCUUUGCUACCUACACCUAAUAUGCAGAAACACAUGACAACACCCAAUCAAUAAAUCUGUUGCUUGUGGCAGGCUUUCUCCUAAGUUGUUGGCGUUUGUGCACAAUGUAGAGGAGGAACUUCAAACAAAUGUUUAGAAAGCUGCAAAGAAGCAGGAAUGGAGCGAGGCAAUUCAAGAAAAGUUAAGGGUCGUUCGGAAGAAUCAAAUAUGGGAGUUGUUGAUCUUCCAUCUGGAAAGACUACAAAAGGGCUUGAAUCGGUAUUCAUGGGAAAAAAAAAAAAAAAAUUCUUGGUGGAAGUAUCAAUUGUCAUAAACCAAGGUUGGUGGCUAAGGGUUUCAGACAAACCCAUAGCAUCAUAGACUGUGAGCUUCUGUGGUGAGGUUUAACACCAUCAAACUUCUACUCUCUAUGUUAUCUGGCUUCGAGUAGCUAUUACAACAACUAGUUGUUAAUAACACUUAAUGGCAAUCUCAAGGAAGAUUUUUACAUGAAAAUCCCACUGGGCUUGGAGGUUGAAGUAUAUGGCAAUAAGUUAUGCAAACUUAAGAAGUGUAUAUAUGUACUCAAACACUCCUAGGAUGUGUUUUUUUAUAAAUGUUGUCAAGAUGAUCAUACUCUAUUUGUCAUAUGUGGUUCAAAUGAAAAACUAGCCAUUCUAGUUGUAUUUGUAGAUGACACAUGAGACAAGUAAUGAGAUUGGCAAACUGAUACGAAAUCUUGGAGCAGAGUUACACAUUAAAAGCCUUGGCCAAAUGAGGUAUUUUCUGGGGAUGGGGCAUCGUACAAAAUAAAGAUGACGCAUCUUGGAGAAAGCACAUCAUACAUCUCCUUAAAGAGAUUGAGGUCGUGUAAACUAGUUGACACAUUAGAAUAGGUCAGACUCCAGAAGGAAAGCCGAUUGGUAUGCAUCAAGGGCUUGCAGGACGUCUAAUUCAUGACUAAUAGAAGAUCCAGUACUUGGUACUUGACAGUUGGGGGAGAAAUUUAGUGCCAUGGAGAAGCC
Neltuma alba is the source of this 8553-nucleotide long non-coding RNA. RefSeq lists it as uncharacterized. The record is from RefSeq and is a predicted model, not a curated record. Lineage: Eukaryota; Viridiplantae; Streptophyta; Magnoliopsida; Fabales; Fabaceae. The transcript has 6 exons.